GUCCUUUUGAGAAUGAUUUAAGGUCUAACCUGCCCAGUGAUUAAUUUAUGUAUAUUAAAUGGCCGCGGUAUUUUGACCGUGCGAAGGUAGCAUAAUAAUUAGCUUUUUAAUUGAAGGCUGGAAUGAAUGGUUGAACGAGAAAAUUUCUGUCUCUUUUUUGAUUUAAUUAGAACUUAAUUUUUAAGUAAAAAAGCUUAAAUUUUUUUUAUAGACGAGAAGACCCUAUAGAGUUUAAUAUUUAAAUUUUAUUUUUAAUUUUAGAAUUUAUUUUAAAUUAAAAUUUUAAGUAUUUGGUUGGGGUGACAAAAAGACUUAGUAAACUCUUUUUAAAUUUAAACACUAAUUUGUGAAUGUUUGAUCCAUUUUUUGUGAAUAAAAGAUAAAAUUACCUUAGGGAUAACAGCGUUAUUUUUUCAGAGAGUUCAAAUCGAUGAAAGAAAUUGCGACCUCGAUGUUGGAUUAAAGUUAAUUUUAGGAGCAAAAGCUUAAAUAUUAGGUCUGUUCGACCUUUAAAACUUUACAUGAUCUGAGUUUAAACCGGUGUGAGCCAGGUUGGUUUCUAUCUUGAAAUUAUUAGUAAAUCUUAGUACGAAAGGACCAGGUUUUAAGUAAAAUAUUUAAUUUUUUGGAUAAUAUUGUUACUUUGGCAGAAUAGUGCGUUAGAUUUAGAAUCUUUUUAUGUAUUUAAUACAGGUAAUACUUGAUAUUAAUAGAUCUUUUUUUAAUUUUUUUAAAUAUAUUGAUUUUAAUUGUUUGUGUUCUUGUCAGUGUAGCUUUUUUUACAUUAUUAGAACGAAAGGUUUUAGGAUAUAUUCAAAUUCGAAAGGG
Molecule: ribosomal RNA, 828 nt
Filed under: Pomatinus substriatus
Lineage: Eukaryota; Metazoa; Arthropoda; Insecta; Coleoptera; Dryopidae
Description: partial 16S ribosomal RNA
Rfam family: Archaeal large subunit ribosomal RNA (bases 1-604)
Source: RNAcentral